CUCCCCCAGCGCUCCCAUUGAGGAGCAUUUACUCAGUGAGUGGAAGAGGUUAUUUUGAAACAGACCGCAAUGGAGAGACCAGCGCCCAGGGAAGCGAGGGAACAGCAGGCUCCUUCCAGCAGGACAUGGAGAUGUGAACCUGGGACACAGAGGAUGCUCCGAGACCGGCAAAUAUUGAAGGACCAGGAUGUUGUUAUAUUUCCUUGGUACAAAGCCAAGUGUGACUCGCUGCUUCUAACAAUCAGCAGAUGUUCCAGGGAUGAAUGAUCUCCUAUACCCACUUCCAUCCGGCAGAAGAUACAGAAGCCUAAACACUCGCAUGAGAAGGUUCAAGGACAGCUUCUUCCUUGCCGUGAUUAGAUUGAUGAAUGGACUCUUUAGCCUCAAAUAAUGACAAUUUUGAUAAUGUUGAUCUCUCCUCAUGCACGGCCUGUCAAUGUAACCUGCAUGCCUCUGUCUUAAGACAUUUUGAUCUGUACAUUCUGACUUAACAUGAUCUGACAGUACUGCUCGUAAACAAAGGUUUUCACUGUAUUUCGCUGCAUGUGACAAUAAAUCUAUUAAUUUAAAAAAAAAUAA
This is a long non-coding RNA of Rhincodon typus (whale shark), 579 nucleotides long. RefSeq lists it as uncharacterized. The record is from RefSeq and is a predicted model, not a curated record. The transcript has 3 exons. Lineage: Eukaryota; Metazoa; Chordata; Chondrichthyes; Orectolobiformes; Rhincodontidae.